Long non-coding RNA from Helicoverpa armigera (cotton bollworm), 1177 nucleotides. RefSeq lists it as uncharacterized. The transcript has 3 exons. Lineage: Eukaryota; Metazoa; Arthropoda; Insecta; Lepidoptera; Noctuidae. The record is from RefSeq and is a predicted model, not a curated record.
GAGUGAAUGAAUUGACUGUCGGCGUUCAUCAUUUUUUUUCGCGUCGCCAUUUUUUUACACGUUUCUGUUUAUUUUGUUAGUUUUGUUAGUUGUAUAUUAUUUAUAACAGUGUACUUAACGUUAAGGUGUUGCUUACAUUUGUUGGCAUCUGGGUUUUGGCUUGCAUCUUAGGAUAUAGCACCAUGGCUCUUAGUGACGAGCUGGCUCAAUUAAAGCUCCGUAGGGGCUAUGUAAAGGGUGCAAUAACUCGUGAAGAAAGUUUUUGUAACAGCGAAGAAAUUGUGAUCGCGUCUAGUGAGUUGCUCACAGAGCGGCGCAGUCGCUUGGCGAAAAACUUUGCCUCUUACGAGGACCUUAACAAGAGUAUUUUGUGCAUAAAUCCAAAGGACGAAGAAGACCCUUUUGUGUAUGAAAGAAUUCAUAGAUUUUUUGGAGUCCAGAGCGUUGGCCAGGGAGAAUGCAAUGGAAACAAUGCCUGUGAGUACUCCCAGUGGUGUGAAGCCUGGCAAGCCUGCAUGUAAUACAGCAGCAGCAGUCUCAUGUGCUUCAGAGGGAAUCACUGCCUCUAACGCCGCAAGGUCCCUACCUGGUUAGUACCAGCCUAGGUUAUAUUGUAGCAGGCAGUCUACCGGUAUCUGUUGGGAACAUCCAUUCUUCAAAUUUGUGUAUAACAGUUCAAGGUACCCCCCAUAAUAUUUCUCAUAAUUCUCAUAAUGAUCAACUUGAUACUAUUGAACAUACUAUUUCAAAUUUUUGGAAAUGUGAAAAAGUACCUGAAAUUUAUAAGGAAGGUAUUACUGAACAUCAACUAGCUGAGGAAUGUUUUCAAAACUCUGUCAAACUUGUUGAUGGAAAGUUUUGUGUAGAUUUACCUUUAAAACUUAAUUUAAAUGAUAUCCAGAUGGGUAACUCUUUUAAUCAGGCAUUGCAUCGUUUUCAUAAUUUAGAAAGGCGUUUCGCUAAAGAUGAUAAGUUAUUUCAACAGUAUAAGAAGUUCAUUCAUGUUUAUCUUGAGCAAGGCCAUGCCAUGUACUUUGAUAUAUCUAACUAUGAUCCUAGGGCAGGUAGUGUGUAUUUCUUACCUCACCACCCAGUCAUUAAUUUAAAUAGUAAAACUACUCCGGUUCGAGCUGUCUUUGACGCGAGCAUGAAAACCAAUAAUGGUAUUUGUCUAAAU